This 253-nucleotide ribosomal RNA is filed under the name uncultured bacterium. RNAcentral describes it as "partial 16S ribosomal RNA". It matches the Rfam family "Bacterial small subunit ribosomal RNA", at positions 524 to 776 of the family's 1533-position model. The record is from RNAcentral.
UACAGAGGUCUCAAGCGUUGUUCGGAAUUACUGGGCGUAAAGAGUGUGUAGGCGGUGCUCCAAGUCUGGUGUGAAAUCUCCCGGCUUAACUGGGAGGGUGCAUUAGAAACUGGAAUGCUAGAGGAUGGGAGAGGUAAGCGGAAUUCCUGGUGUAGCGGUGAAAUGCGUAGAUAUCAGGAGGAACACCUGUGGUGUAGACAGCUUACUGGACCAUUUCUGACGCUGAGACACGAAAGCGUGGGUAGCAAACAGG